This 376-nucleotide long non-coding RNA is filed under the name Salmo salar (Atlantic salmon). RNAcentral describes it as "lncRNA (ENSSSAG00000096648.1)". Lineage: Eukaryota; Metazoa; Chordata; Actinopteri; Salmoniformes; Salmonidae. The record is from RNAcentral.
GUUUAUAGGGUGUUCGUUUAUAGUGUGUUAGUUUAUCUGGGUGUUAGUUUAUCUGGGUGUUAGUUUAUCUGGGUGUUAGUUUAUAGGGUGUUAGUUUAUAGGGUGAUAGUUUAUAGGGUGUUAGUUUAUAGGGUGUUAGUUUAUAGGGUGUUCGUUUAUAGUGUGUUAGUUUAUCUGGGUGUUAGUUUAUCAGGGUGUUAGUUUAUCAGGGUGUUAGUUUAUAGGGUGUUAGUUUAUAGGGUGUUAGUUUAUCAGGGUGUUAGUUUAUAUGUGUGUUAGUUUAUCUGGGUGUUAGUUUAUCAGGGUGUUAGUUUAUCAGGGUGUUAGUUUAUAUGGGUGUUAGUUUAUCAGGGUACAAUGCAGAUGUAGAAGCACG